AAGUGAGCCCUUUCAGAAAUCUCACAAAAUCGAAAAACCCUAGUUUAGCAAAGAACGUCAGUUGAGUGAUUUUGGAAAGAGACUGUUGAUUUGGAACACGGUUCGGCCUUUCAUCCCUUCGCAUUUGUCUUUCGUUCUUCGAUUUGUGAACCCUCUUUUCGUUCUUUGCUUUACUUUUCAGCUAACUAUUACAUUGAUUUUUUGUUUCAAUAAUUCAAUAUUUUUCCUGCUUAUUUAUUGUUAAAGUACACAUCUUAGAAAUUGUAAUUGAAACCUCUCAAGAGAGAACCAAACAGAUCCCUCCCCUUUUUUUAACCUAGCAGCCAAAAAAACUUUCAGAUCUUGAUUUCAGUUUGUUGGCUCAUGGUUUUCUGGGAUUCCAAGAGUGUUUCCCCUUUUUUCAACCUAGCAGCCAAAAAAACUUUCAGAUCUUGAUUUCAGUUUGUUGGAUCGUGGUUUUCUGGGAUUCCAAGAGUGUUUAAACUCUCCAAAAUUGCUGGUUGAAUUGUUGAANNN
Molecule: long non-coding RNA, 516 nt
Filed under: Nicotiana benthamiana
Lineage: Eukaryota; Viridiplantae; Streptophyta; Magnoliopsida; Solanales; Solanaceae
Description: long non-coding RNA (NBEN_LNC038507)
Source: RNAcentral